GGAAUAAAAGUCGUAACAAGGUCUCCGUAGGUGAACCUGCGGAGGGAUCAUUACAGAGUUCAUGUCCUACCGGGUAGAUCUCCCACCCUAUGUUAUUAUUACUUUGUUGCUUUGGCGGGCCGUUAGGCUCCGGCCCGACUACCGGCCCCGGCUGGUAAGCGCCCGCCAGAGGACCCAAAACCCUGAAUAUUAGUGUCGUCUGAGUACUAUAUAAUAGUUAAAACUUUCAACAACGGAUCUCUUGGUUCUG
Molecule: unclassified non-coding RNA, 250 nt
Filed under: plant metagenome
Description: partial contains small subunit ribosomal RNA, internal transcribed spacer 1, and 5.8S ribosomal RNA
Rfam family: Eukaryotic small subunit ribosomal RNA (bases 1-53)
Source: RNAcentral